Magallana angulata is the source of this 1823-nucleotide long non-coding RNA. RefSeq lists it as uncharacterized. The transcript is spliced from 3 exons. NCBI's taxonomy places the organism in Eukaryota, Metazoa, Mollusca, Bivalvia, Ostreida, Ostreidae. The record is from RefSeq and is a predicted model, not a curated record.
AUUUUAUCUUACGUGUGUUUACUUCCGAGUACUACUGUCACCUGAAAUUCGACACGAAUUUUGCAUUUUGAAACUAGUUUUGCGCUAGAUCUUAACUCCAAGAUGGUCUGAUUAAUAAUAAAUGCCUGUGAGUACGUGGCCACUAAGAUUGGCCGCGCUCUGGGCAUCACCAAAGAUGAGGAAUCAUCAUCUAAGAGGAAGGCGAACUGUUCCAGUAAAUCGGGACAAGAAAAGUACCGUCCCCUGAAUGAAGAUGGUGUUUCUUCUGAGGGAAUAGUUCACAGAGAGAAACCUGUGUGCAAUAAACAGUCUGGAUGAGGCUAAAGAGGGACAACUCUGCUUGUCCUUAAAAUGCUGAGAUGAACUACUUUCUGCUGGAGAUUUACUUUUCCCUGUUUGUACAACAGAGUGAAUGACUGGCCAGCUGUAAACAUAGUCAAUAUGGAAGCUGACUAAGAUGCUGCUAAAUCUGUAGCAGAAAUAGUCAUUCUUUUACUUUUUUUUCCAGAUUUCUAUCAAAGAGACAGAUAUAUUUAUAUUCUAUGUACUGUACAUGCUUGUUCAAAUUAUUCAUUCAUACAAAGGUAGAUCAAAUCUGUAAUGGCACACAGAGAUAUACUAGUAGUUUGAUGAAUAAAGGGAGGUAGGGCUUGAAAUUUAAAGGUCAGUGAAGCAUUUGUCAUUUCUUUAAGGGUUGAUCGAAUAUUGAAUGCGUUGGACGAGAAGUGGAAGAUCAAAAAUCCACAAGCACCUAGAUCCACCAACUAUUCAUCAUCUGUUAAAAAUCAAUUUAAAUUGUCUCAGGAAAUUUUACUCUGGGAUCACACAGACUGUGCUGGUGGUUUAAAUUUGUAUAAAAAGUUGCCAAGAAUGCUUAACACAUUACACAUUUUUAGUUUUACUUGUAUCAAAGAAACAGAUAUAUUAUUCUAUACAUUGCUUGUACAAAUUAUUCAUUCAUACAAAGGUAGAGCUCUCAGGGAUAGGGUUUGAUGGAGGAAGAGGGGGGGGGGGGUAGGGCCUGAAAUUUAAAGGUUAGUGAAGCAUUUACCAUUUUUUUUAAGGGUUGAUUGAAUUGUAAAUGUGUUGGGCGAGAAGUAGAAGAUCAAAAAUCCACAAGCACCUAGAUUCACCGACUAUUCACAGAAAUUUGUAUCCAUAGUUUUAGAUUUUGUUAUUACUAUUUGGCAAAAAUUAAUUUAAAUUUUCUCAGGAAAUUUUGCUCUGUGAUCACACAGACUGUGCUGGUUGUGUUAAAUUUUUAAUAUGUUCAGAUUAUAAAAUACAUGUAGUUGCCAAUAUUAAAUGCUUUAGUUAACACAUCACACAUUUUUAGAUAAAAGCUUAAUUAGAAAAUGUUAGUAGGAAAACACUAUGAUCUUAUUAUUGUUGACUGCAGUGACACUUGCUCAUAUUUUUUACUACAUAUAAAUUAUUGAAAUGUUGAUUUGCUUUUAGUUAUAAAAAAUGCAGAUUUUUUUAGCUUAUACAUGUAUAUCUCUCUUUCUACAUUCCAAUCCAUGUCAAAAAGAACUACAUGCAUGAAUACUACACGUCAAUCAUCUAAAAUCUUCUUUUAAUUUCUUAUUUAUUAUGUUAUUAUAUAGUAAAUAUUAUUUAACCCUAUGUAUAUAAAAAAUUAUAAACAUUGCACAGACAAUAAUUUGUGACAACAUUUUAUUGUUUUGUUCUGGACAUUGUACGUCGUACAGUUUUAAGUGCCUAUGAUAAGUCAGAUUAAAACAUGGUCAGAGAUAACAUGGUGUCUGACUUUGAUGUUUAUUUCACUUAAUGAAUGAAACAAUAAAAUAUACCAAACUCAA